RNAcentral lists this ribosomal RNA (505 nucleotides) under uncultured bacterium. RNAcentral's name for it is "bacterial SSU rRNA". It matches the Rfam family "Bacterial small subunit ribosomal RNA", at positions 791 to 1296 of the family's 1533-position model. The record is from RNAcentral.
UAGUCCACGCCGUAAACGAUGUCAAUUAGCCGUUGGGAGUCUUGUACUCUUAGUGGCGCAGCUAACGCGAUAAAUUGACCGCCUGGGGAGUACGGCCGCAAGGUUAAAACUCAAAUGAAUUGACGGGGGCCCGCACAAGCGGUGGAGCAUGUGGUUUAAUUCGAUGCAACGCGAAGAACCUUACCAGAUCUUGACAUGUCACAAAUUUUUGCGAGAGCAAAAAGUGCCUUCGGGAAUGUGAACACAGGUGGUGCAUGGCUGCCGUCAGCUCGUGUCGUGAGAUGUUGGGUUAAGUCCCGCAACGAGCGCAACCCUUGUCUUUAGUUGCCAUCAUUAAGUUGGGCACUUUAAAGAGACUGCCGGUGACAAACCGGAGGAAGGUAAGGAUGACGCCAAGUCAGCAUGCCCCUUAUGCUCUGGGCUACACACGUGCUACAAUGGCCGUGACAAAGAGUUGCUACUUUGUGAAAACAAGCUAAAUCUCAUAAACGCGGCCUCAGUUCGG